GCAUCAGCAGAGAUAACUGUGGAGAAGAUGAGAGAGGUUGGUGAGAAAUUGGGAUACGGUGUUGAGAGAGGGAAGGUUGGAAGUAUAAGGAGGGAGGCGGGAAGGGUGGUUCUGUUGGUCGAAGUUUCAGAAGUUGCUCCAUCAUUGUUACUAGUGGAGGUGCAGGUGGUAGACGGAGGAGAAUUUGAGGAGUUGAAAUGGGAAAUUGUGAAAGCUGGGCUUGAAGAUAUAGUUGUUUCAUGGGAGGGUAGUGGGAUGUAGAUGAGUUGGAGCAGCGUUCAGAUGGGGAGUUGUGAAAGCUAGGCUUGCAGAUACAGUUGUUUCAUGGCAGAACAGCGGGAUGUAGAGGAGUUGAAGCGUUGUUUAGAAGGUAGUUAAUUGGGGAUUUAGAAAUUAAUGCAGAAUUGGUUGAAGGGGAGUAGUUCUUCACGGCAAAUAGCAUAUGGGGAGCAUUGCUGGAUGAAAUUCAGUGUCCGGUGGUGAAUUUAACAGUGGUUCUCCGAGGGUGGGUUACAAGCAUCUUGUUUGGUCAUCAGAUUGGUUAUUUAGCCAUAUUCCUGCAGAUGAAACUUGGAACAGAUUCUGUAAAAAAAAAAAAAAUGGAAGGAUUUUGCUUUUCUCCUUUUUCUUCUAUCCCAGUUGGUUGUGUAUUCUCCUAAUUUAAUAAAUAUAAUAUAUAUGGCAAAAAUGAACUUACCGCUUAUCAGGCUCACCCACAUCUGUAACCUAUUUUUUCUAAAAUCACCAAAUUUCAAUGUUCCCUUGGACGGACAAAGAAUUGACAUCCACCAC
This 792-nucleotide long non-coding RNA is filed under the name Vitis vinifera (wine grape). Its description in RNAcentral is "long non-coding RNA (VVIN_LNC001372)". The record is from RNAcentral. Lineage: Eukaryota; Viridiplantae; Streptophyta; Magnoliopsida; Vitales; Vitaceae.